RNAcentral lists this microRNA precursor (73 nucleotides) under Medicago truncatula (barrel medic). RNAcentral describes it as "MIR2629 microRNA precursor family". It matches the Rfam family "MIR2629 microRNA precursor family". Lineage: Eukaryota; Viridiplantae; Streptophyta; Magnoliopsida; Fabales; Fabaceae. The record is from Rfam by way of RNAcentral.
GAUGAAACAUAUCCUCGGCAGUUAACUGCCGCCGGUUUACUCAAAACUUCGGCAGUUAACUGCCGAAGGGUAU